ACAGUAGGAUAUAGGACAGAUGCUGGCUGAACAGUAGGAUAUAGGACAGAUAUAGCCUCUGAACAGUAGGAUAUAGGACAGAUAUAGCCUCUGAACAGUAGGAUAUAGGACAGAUGCUGGCUGAACAGUAGAAUAUAGGACAGAUAUAGCCUCUGAACAGUAGGAUAUAGGACAGAUAUAGGCUCUGAACAGUAGGAUAUAGGACAGAUAUAGCCUCUGAACAGUGUAUGUUCCAUACUGCAUGUAUUAUAGUGGAUUUGUUUGCUGACUUCACAAAAUAAAUGUCCAUGUAAAUGGGCUAGGUCUAAAUGUCAAUGUAAAUGGGCUAGGUCUAAAUGGGCUAGGUCUAAAUGGGCUAGGUCUAAAUGUCGGUGUAAAUGGGCUAGGUCUAAAUGGGCUAGGUCUAAAUGUCCAUGUAAAUGGGCUAAGUCUAAAUGGGCUAGGUCUAAAUGUAGGUCUAAAUGGGCUAGGUCUAAAUGGGCUAGGUCUAAAUGGGCUAGGUCUAAAUGGGCUAGGUCUAAAUGUCCAUGUAAAUGGGCUAAGUCUAAAUGUCCAUGUAAAUGGGCUAGGUCUAAAUGUAGGUCUAAAUGGGCUAGGUCUAAAUGUCCAUGUAAAUGGGCUAGGUCUAAAUGUCGGUGUAAAUGGGCUAGGUCUAAAUGUCGGUGUAAAUGGGCUAAGUCUUAAUGUCGGUGUAAAUGGGCUAAGUCUACUGUAUUUUGUAUAUCGUACUUUGCUCUCAUUUUGAGAGAAAUAAAAUCCAGUUCGAUUCCCAACUCAGUAACUCAGAUCAGCUUUAAUAUUGAACAUAGAUUGUAACUCAGACCUUGGGGGAAGAUCAGCUUUAAUAUUGAACAUAGAUUGUAACUCAGGCCUUGGGGAAGUUCUGCUUUAAUAUUGAACAUAGAUUGUUGAUUCCAUCAAUGUAAUUGUCUGC
Molecule: long non-coding RNA, 934 nt
Organism: Oncorhynchus tshawytscha (Chinook salmon)
Lineage: Eukaryota; Metazoa; Chordata; Actinopteri; Salmoniformes; Salmonidae
Source: Ensembl